CCUAGUUUAACAUCGAAACAACUCUCCCCUUCUGCGAUUUGUGAAACUCUCCCCUUCUGCUGAGAAUGAACUGAAGAGCUGCGAACGACUGAACAUAGUGAAGAGCUGAGAACGAAAUAGCUGAGAACACUCUUUCUCUUCUGCGAUUUGUGAGAAAUAGCUGGUAAAGAGAAGUGAAGCGUUGAAGUCAAAGAAGAACUGAGCUGAAUAGUUGAAGAUUUGAAGUCACUGAUAAUUCAAGUCAUCUCUUCAAUAACGAUUUCCUGAAGAAACUGGUUGUUUACAAGAUGAUGAAAUGAAGUUAAAUAGUCUCUCUCUCACGCUUUUCUCUCCAAUUUCUCACUGAAGAAAAGGAUUCCAGACUGCUUUUGUUGGAAUAGGAUUUAUUAGAUCAGUUUUUCAAGGUUUGUUCGAGUUCGAGAAUCUGCCCGAAAUUCUCAUGUGUCGUUAGUGUUCGAGUUUCGUGGUGAAGAUCGUUUCCCUGCUCCUCUCUUUCGUGUUCAGUGCCCGCAAAAA
Molecule: long non-coding RNA, 516 nt
Organism: Solanum pennellii
Lineage: Eukaryota; Viridiplantae; Streptophyta; Magnoliopsida; Solanales; Solanaceae
Exons: 3
Source: RefSeq, a predicted model, not a curated record